GGUGGAGUGCUGGCAAUAUGAUACUAUAUAGGCAAACAGAUUUCAUGUUUAAUUCUUGUCAUUAAGAUCUUUCUCUUAACUAAGAAAUAUAUCUCCCUAUAGUAAUCUAGUAUACAUGUAUACGUAGAAACUUGUUCAGAUAUAUUUUUCAUUCGAUUAAAUUUUUUUUUUUUUCAAUAUUGUUUUCUGUGCUGAAAUAUGUUUUAAGUGCUGAAUUAUUCUUUUCUGGGGUAUUGAAACAGGCGGCAGGAAUGGUAGACGAUUUUUCUCCGCAUCUUCUGCUAAAAAAAGUUAUACGAGUUGCCUCUUCAAAACGUCCCUGAAUGCAAUAUACAGACGCAAUCAAAUAAUAAGCAUGUGGAUAAUGUUUAUCACAUUUCGGAGCCAUACUAAUAUAUUUCUGAAAUAACUCGAUAGCCUUUGCUGGAUCACUUUUUCUAAGAUGAUAUGCUAUUCCAAAGAGAGCACUAAAAUUUGUAUCGUCUAAAUCGUGGCAUUUCUGGAAAGAAUCAAGAGCUAGCGCUGAUGGUUGUUUUGUAGAAACGUACAUUGCACCAAGAUGAUAAUAUACAUCGAUAAGAACUCGUUGUAUGAAAGGGUGAAGGUGUCUACUUGUUUGUUCUUUCUGAGUUUCAAUGCAAACUUUUCUAAGGUUGUUAUGCGUAGUUUGGCCGAUUCAAAUUCUGACAAAAGAUUACGUUUUCUUUUCUCCGAAUUGAACGACGCUC
This 728-nucleotide long non-coding RNA is filed under the name Mytilus galloprovincialis (Mediterranean mussel). Lineage: Eukaryota; Metazoa; Mollusca; Bivalvia; Mytilida; Mytilidae. The record is from RNAcentral.